RNAcentral lists this unclassified non-coding RNA (160 nucleotides) under uncultured Eurotiomycetes. RNAcentral describes it as "sequence contains ITS2". Lineage: Eukaryota; Fungi; Ascomycota; Eurotiomycetes. The record is from RNAcentral.
UCAACCAUCAAGCCUGGCUUAUUGUUGGACUUUGCGGCUGUAAAAUGUGGCAGGUCCGAAAAAUAAUGACGGUGUCAUGUUUGACCCUAGAUGCAACGAGCUUUUUUAUAGCACGCAUUGAAGUGGUCGACUGAACUGGUCUUAACCAUUAAAUUUCUAA